RNAcentral lists this long non-coding RNA (1573 nucleotides) under Salvia miltiorrhiza (redroot sage). Its description in RNAcentral is "long non-coding RNA (SMIL_LNC011080)". Lineage: Eukaryota; Viridiplantae; Streptophyta; Magnoliopsida; Lamiales; Lamiaceae. The record is from RNAcentral.
GUUUCUCCAAAAAAAAUACCACCGCAAGUCGUCUCCCUUCGCCUCGCCGUCUUCGCCAUCUCCGCCUCGCCAUCUCCCUGUCGCCUCUCGCCGUCUCCCUCUCGUCUGUUGUCGUCUCCUUCUCGCCUUUCAACAAACUCAAGCUUUCUGUCGCCUCUCGCCGUCUCCCUCUCGUCUGUUGUCAUCUCCCUCUCGCCUUUCAACAAACUCAAGCUUUCAACCGGCGAACUCAGGCUCUGAAUGAGCUCAGCCUCUCAGAUCCUCGCCGGCUCCGUUUUUCCGGUGGACGUUCUUUGACUCCCUCUCGGAUCUCUACCGGCAAAGUAUCAGCUUUCUACCACCUGAAAUCUCGUCAGCUUCUCUCCAUUUCCGUCAUGGAUGCACCGCAGGAGGUAUUAUUAGUUAGUCGAUUUUAAUACCGUCGCAUAAAAUUGUAAUAUCGUCGUUGCAAAUCGAAAAAUACCAUCGUGAUUUGAGUAUAUUGUUAGAAUAUUUGAAAAUAUCGGUCGAUGGUAUUUUAAACUUUUCCGGAGGUAUUUUUUUCUUUUCCGGCGGUAUUCUAAGUUUUCUGAUAGUAUAUAUUUUAGAUUAAAUAGAUAACAAGCGUGAUUGUACUUGUUUAUGUCUAUUUGAGUUGGAGAAAUUCAAAUAACUAAUGUGAGAUUAGUAAUAAUAUAAUUGAAUUGGGUUAUUAUGAAAAUCAUUAAUAGAUUCGAAACCCAAUGUGUAUAUAGCAUAGUUGAUAUUAGUGCAGUCCAUAUUGCAAAAUUUGACUUCAAUUCAAAAUUUAGAACAUAAUUUAGUGUGCUGUUUCGUAAGUUAAUUUAUAUGUAACACUAAAAUUAAAUUGAUUUAUGUAGCCAACUUGCUUUAUAGUAUGUGCAAUAAAAUGGUGCAAAGUGAAAAAUAAAAUGGUGCAAAGUGACUAUUCGAAUAUAAUAAACCAACUUUAGAGUUGAAAAAUGAAAAGAUUAGAUAGUUUUGUUGCUAUAAAAUGGUGCAAAGUUAACAGAAUAAAGUGUACCUUGAGAAUUCCUUGAGAAUAAUACCAUGUAACGUGUUCAUUAUAUAUUAUCAUUAUUUAAGAAUUAAUAUUGGAAUGUGAUAUGAAAGAUGAAUGUUUUAUUUUUUAGAGGAGAUAUAAUGUUUUCAUUGUUGUUAGAAUUGUUAUAUAUAUGCUUAAUAAUUAUUACAAUAAAUUGGCUCAAAAUGUUAUAAAAGAGGUCUAGGGGUUCGUUGUAUAAAUAAGCUAAAUAAUAAUGUACUUACAAAAAAAAAAAAAAAAGCAACUAUGAUUGGAGAAAUUGACAUGUUGGUUUAUUAAAAGCUAAAACUGACUUGACAAGAUAAUGUGUUGUAUUUUUCAUGAGAGAAUAUUAUACAGAUUGGAAAAAUAGAUUAUAUAUAUAAGAAGGGAAAGUUUUUGUUUUAAUAUUAUUUUACAAUUGUAAGUGUUACAUUUAAUAUUAUAAUUUGUUUUUAAUGAUUUUUAUUUUUAAAUUAUAGGAGAAUUCUAUUUAUUUGAGGCCGAGUACAAUUAAUGUGGCUUCACAUGUUGGGACGUAUAAAUUGA